This 161-nucleotide ribosomal RNA is filed under the name Pseudocercospora plunkettii. RNAcentral describes it as "partial 28S ribosomal RNA". It matches the Rfam family "Eukaryotic large subunit ribosomal RNA", at positions 1 to 164 of the family's 3401-position model. The record is from RNAcentral. Lineage: Eukaryota; Fungi; Ascomycota; Dothideomycetes; Mycosphaerellales; Mycosphaerellaceae.
GUUGACCUCGGAUCAGGUAGGGAUACCCGCUGAACUUAAGCAUAUCAAUAAGCGGAGGAAAAGAAACCAACAGGGAUUGCCCUAGUAACGGCGAGUGAAGCGGCAACAGCUCAAAUUUGAAAUCUGGCGCAAGCCCGAGUUGUAAUUUGUAGAGGAUGCUU